GAUGAACGCCGGCGGCGUGCCUAAUACAUGCAAGUCGAGCGAAUGGAUUAAGAGCCUGCUCUUAUGAAGUUAGCGGCGGACGGGUGAGUAACACGUGGGUAACCUGCCCAUAAGACUGGGAUAACUCCGGGAAACCGGGGCUAAUACCGGAUAACAUUUUGAACCGCAUGGUUCGAAAUUGAAAGGCGGCUUCGGCUGUCACUUAUGGAUGGACCCGCGUCGCAUUAGCUAGUUGGUGAGGUAACGGCCCACCAAGGCAACGAUGCGUAGCCGACCUGAGAGAGUGCUCGGCCACACUGGAACUGAGACACGGCCCAGACUCCUACGGGAGGCAGCAGUAGGGAAUCUUCCGCAAUGGACGAAAGUCUGACGGAGCAACGCCGCGUGAGUGAUGAAGGCUUUCGGGUCGUAAAACUCUGUUGUUAGGGAAAAACAAGUGCUAGUUGAAUAAGCUGGCACCUUGACGGUACCUAACCAGAAAGCCACGGCUAACUACGUGCCAGCCGCCGCAGUAA
Molecule: ribosomal RNA, 515 nt
Filed under: uncultured bacterium
Lineage: Bacteria
Description: partial 16S ribosomal RNA
Rfam family: Bacterial small subunit ribosomal RNA
Source: RNAcentral